RNAcentral lists this ribosomal RNA (496 nucleotides) under uncultured bacterium. RNAcentral describes it as "partial 16S ribosomal RNA". It matches the Rfam family "Bacterial small subunit ribosomal RNA", at positions 28 to 506 of the family's 1533-position model. The record is from RNAcentral.
GAUGAACGCUGGCGGCGUGCCUAAUACAUGCCAGUCGAGCGAACAGACGAGGAGCUUGCUCCUCUGACGUUAGCGGCGGACGGGUGAGUAACACGUGGAUCACCUCCCUAUCAUACUGGGAUAACUUCGGGAAACCGGAGCUAAUACCGUAUAAUCUAUUGAACCGCAUGGUUCAAUAGUGAAAGACGGUUUUGCUGUCACUUAUAGAUGGAUCCGCGCCGCAUUAGCUAGUUGGUAAGGUAACGGCUUACCAAGGCAACGAUGCGUAGCCGACCUGAGAGGGGGAUGGGCAACCCUGAAACUGAGCGACGGUCCAGACUCCUACGGGAGGCAGAAGUAGGGAAGCUUCGGCAAAGGGCGAAAGCCUGACGGAGCAACGCAGCGUGAGUGAUGAAGGGCUUCGGAUCGUAAAACGCUGUUAUUAGGGAAGAACAAAUGUGUAAGUAACUAUGCACGUGUGGACGGUACCUAAUAAGAAAGCCACGGCUAACUAGGU